RNAcentral lists this ribosomal RNA (440 nucleotides) under uncultured bacterium. RNAcentral's name for it is "partial 16S ribosomal RNA". It matches the Rfam family "Bacterial small subunit ribosomal RNA", at positions 338 to 795 of the family's 1533-position model. The record is from RNAcentral.
CCUACGGGUGACAGCAGUGGGGAAUAUUGCACAAUGGGGGAAACCCUGAUGCAGCGACGCCGCGUGAGUGAAGAAGUCAUUCGUCAUGUAAAGCUCUAUCAGCAGGGAAGAAAAUGACGGUACCUGAGUAAGAAGCCCCGGCUAACUACGUGCCAGCAGCCGCGGUACUACGUAGGGGGCCAGCGUUAUCCGGAUUUACUGGGGGUAAAGGGAGCGUAUACGGCAGUGCAAGUCUGGAGUGAAAGGCGGGGGCUCAACCCCCGGACUGCUCUGGAAACUGGACGGCUGGAGUGCAGGGGAGGUAAGCGGAAUGCGGAGUGUAGCGGUGAAAUGCGUAGAUAUUAGGAGGAACACCAGUGGCGAAGGCGGCUUACUGGACUGUAACUGACGUUGAGGCUCGAAAGCGUGGGGAGCAAACAGGAUUAGAUACCCUUGUAGUC